This 468-nucleotide ribosomal RNA is filed under the name uncultured bacterium. RNAcentral describes it as "partial 16S ribosomal RNA". It matches the Rfam family "Bacterial small subunit ribosomal RNA", at positions 28 to 507 of the family's 1533-position model. The record is from RNAcentral.
GACGAACGCUGGCGGCGUGCUUAACACAUGCAAGUCGAACGGUGAUGCCCCAGCUUGCUGGAGUGGAUCAGUGGCGAACGGGUGAGUAACACGUGAGCAACCUGCCCCAGACUCUGGAAUAAGCGCUGGAAACGGCGUCUAAUACUGGAUACGAAACUGGCCCGCAUGGGCAUGGUUUGGAAAGUUAUUCGGUUUGGGAUGGGCUCGCGGCCUAUCAGCUUGUUGGUGAGGUAAUGGCUCACCAAGGCGACGACGGGUAGCCGGCCUGAGAGGGCGACCGGCCACACUGGGACUGAGACACGGCCCAGACUCCUACGGGAGGCAGAAGUGGGGAAUAUUGCACAAUGGGCGAAAGCCUGAUGCAGCGACGCCGCGUGAGGGAUGACGGCCUUCGGUUUGUAAACCUCUUUCAGCAGGGAAGAAGCGAAAGUGACGGUACCUGCAGAAGAAGCACCGGCUAACUACGUG